UUGGAGGGCAAGUCUGGUGCCAGCAGCCGCGGUAAUUCCAGCUCCAAUAGCGUAUAUUAAAGUUGUUGCAGUUAAAAAGCUCGUAGUUGAAUUUCGGGGUUAGUAGGUUGGUCAUGCCUCUGGUAUGUACUGGUCUCACUGAUUCCUCCUUCCUGAUGAGCCGUAAUGCCAUUAAUUUGGUGUUGCGGGGAAUUUGGACUGUUACUUUGAAAAAAUUAGAGUGUUUAAAGCAAGCUAACGCUUGAAUACAUUAGCAUGGAAUAAUGAAAUAGGACGUUCGAUCCUAUUUUGUUGGUUUCUAGGAUUGACGUAAUGAUUAAUAGGGAUAGUUGGGGGCAUUAGUAUUCAAUUGUCAGAGGUGAAAUUCUUGGAUUUAUUGAAGACUAACUACCGCGAAAGCAUUUGCCAAGGAUGUUUUCAUUAAUCAAGAACGAAAGUUAGGGGAUCGAAGACGAUCAGAUACCGUCGUAGCCUUAACCAUAAACUAUGCCGACUAGGGAUCGGAUGAUGUUAAUUUUUUAAUGACUCAUUCGGCGCCUUACGGGAAAC
RNAcentral lists this ribosomal RNA (549 nucleotides) under uncultured Glomeromycotina. RNAcentral's name for it is "SSU rRNA". It matches the Rfam family "Eukaryotic small subunit ribosomal RNA", at positions 548 to 1098 of the family's 1831-position model. The record is from RNAcentral. Lineage: Eukaryota; Fungi; Glomeromycota.